Molecule: ribosomal RNA, 638 nt
Filed under: Lacrimispora defluvii
Lineage: Bacteria; Bacillati; Bacillota; Clostridia; Lachnospirales; Lachnospiraceae
Description: partial 23S ribosomal RNA
Rfam family: Bacterial large subunit ribosomal RNA
Source: RNAcentral
ACAUCUAAGUACCCGGAGGAAGAGAAAGAAAAAUCGAUUUCCUAAGUAGCGGCGAGCGAACGGGAAAGAGCCCAAACCAGAAACUUGUUUCUGGGGUUGUGGAUAGAUCAUAAAAGAAGAGGUAUCUUAAUCGAAGAGGGCUGGAACGCCCUACCAUAGAAGGUAAUAGUCCUGUAGGUAAAAAGAGAAAACUUCGAGAUCUAAUCCAGAGUACCACGAGACACGUGAAACCUUGUGGGAAGCAGGGAGGACCACCUCCCAAGGCUAAAUACUACCUAGUGACCGAUAGUGAAGCAGUACCGUGAGGGAAAGGUGAAAAGAACCCCGGAAGGGGAGUGAAAUAGAACCUGAAACCGUGUGCCUACAACCGAUCGGAGCACGUUAAAGUGUGACGAUGUGCUUUUUGUAGAACGAGCCAGCGAGUUACGCUAUGUAGCAAGGUUAAGUACUUAAGGUAUGGAGCCGAAGGGAAACCGAGUCUGAAAAGGGCGAAAAGUUGCAUGGUGUAGACCCGAAACCGGGUGACCUAUCCAUGGCCAGGUUGAAGCGAGAGUAAAAUCUCGUGGAGGACCGAACCACGUUGGUGUUGAAAAACCAUGGGAUGAGCUGUGGAUAGCGGAGAAAUUCCAAUCGAACUC